UGAAACAAUAUUUGCUUAUAAAUCCAUAUAGAGGCUUGAUUGCAUUUUUUCCGGCCCUGCACUUUACACUUAAGAUUUUCUUUGAUCCCUGUGAUUACCCUUACCUUUUCUAAUAAUUUUGAAUUCAUCCAGUUUGACAAUUCUGCCAGAAAAGUAGGCAAAACAUGCAAACCUAGGUCACUGACUGAUGUCGUCCUCCCCUCCUUCCUUGUUGCUCCUGUCUUUUCUCUGAAGGUCAACUUUUUGUUCUGGACAUCUUGUAUGCCCUCCAAUAUAUUUUCUUGUUCUUUUUAAGUCUUUAAACUACAUAUUGUCUAUAUGCAAUGUCAUGUACUUUGGAUUUAGUUUUCUGAUUCUUUUUUCGCCAUAGAUACUAUAGUGCUAUGCGUUUGGAGAUAACAAGAGAGGUUUUACUGAUUUAAGUACUUGCAGUGGGAGUCUGAAAUGGUGGUUUAAAUGCAAAUUAUGCUUUGCGUUAUAUGGCUGUAGGUGAACUAUGACUGUUUUGUGCAAACCUGAGGUAGGUAUGUAGUGUGAUGAUUGAUGUAGGAGAGCUCUGAAGUUCUGUGGGAGUGUUAGAGUGUAAGAUUCAUAUUCUGAGUAGUUUUAAGGACUACGCGUAGCAAGUUGUAAAAUGGAAAAUGUUUCCAGAAGUUUUAAUGGCUUAAAACUUAGCAUGAGGGGAGGUCCACGAGUUUUCUGGUGCAGCAACUGGGUAAGAUGAUGUUGGCUUCUAGAGUUAGGGAUGGGAUAAAUAUGGAUUGUAGGGUUUUAAUAAAAGAAGUGAUGAGAGAGUGUUAGUCAAGGAUGAAAGGUAAGUGAAUAGAACCCGAAGAACAGUUUUUUCAUUCUUUGUGCAUUUAAAUGCGUAAGUGAUGAUCCAUCUUCCUGCGUUCUCAAAAUAGGAUUUGUAAAGGGUGUGUCAGAGCUGGAACCCAGCUUCGAUGGGCUUGAAUUUGCUUCCACCUGGAUAUUUGUGUUGUGCUUUCAACCGGGUAGCACAUCAUAAAAAAGUUGCAAUAUGCUUUUUGUGACUUUGCUCACAAGAUAAAAUGAUAGACCCGAAUAAUAGUUCCGAGAAUGUACCUUUAAGUAUGUACCUUAUAUCAAACAUGUAAGUUUUUCUAGAUCUUCAUCAUGGACUUCAGGAAUUCCAUGCUUUUAGAUGUCUUGCUGAAUCUGAAACUUGUUAUGAAGUGUGCAAACCACCAAUGAAUGAAUAAGAUAUGGAGGAGCUUCACAAAGUGACAAACACAGUUUCCUUUCACUGUAUAAUUUGUUGGCAGCAGUCCCUCGUGCUUGACCCUUGCUCCAAACGCUUAAUAUGCUUGGAAGAACAUUCAAUGGUGGGACAGUAGAUUUCCUUGAAAACAAGAUUUGGUAGUUAUAUCUCGUAUCAUUAUCUAGGACUAGGUCGUCUAAGGAUCAUGUUACAUGUACAUGUUGAUUAGUAUCUUGACUUCUUUUUUUGGUUUCAUGUGGAUAAUCAGAAAAUAUUCUUUUGUUUUCGUUAGCUUUUUAGAUCUCA
Prunus avium (sweet cherry) is the source of this 1528-nucleotide non-coding RNA. The record is from RefSeq and is a predicted model, not a curated record. Lineage: Eukaryota; Viridiplantae; Streptophyta; Magnoliopsida; Rosales; Rosaceae.